Molecule: long non-coding RNA, 744 nt
Filed under: Triticum aestivum (bread wheat)
Lineage: Eukaryota; Viridiplantae; Streptophyta; Magnoliopsida; Poales; Poaceae
Description: long non-coding RNA (TAES_LNC010653)
Source: RNAcentral
UUUAAUCGGUAGUAAGAAGAAACCUAAAAAGAAAAUACAUUGUGCUUAUAGUAACAUCUUUUUUUGAAAAUACCGAACAUCUCAACUCUUUCAUGUCGGUUGGUUCACAUGAUGGUAUAGUUAUUAAGAAUUCCCACAAUUCUACCUCUGGAUAAUCAGUCCAAUUCGAAUAAGUAGAAGCAACUUCUCCUUCGAAUCACACUUGUAGUUGAUAACAUAAUCAAUAGGCCGCCUUGCAGUUAACAUUCGUAGAGCCUCCUCUAUAGUUGUCUUGAGCAGUAACCACCAAAUGAAGCAUAUCAUGAAGCUUCAUAGAGCGUGGAUGUGAUCGACAAAAUGUUGUGAUUGGAGAGGGGCAUAUGAUGCAAAACCUGAAGUAGAGGAUAUUCAUGUCAAAAGGAUCCUAGCCUUUUGUCCUAAGGUUAGUUGCUACUGACUCAUAAUCGUUUUUUAAUUCUUCAACCCACAUAAAUGAGAACAACAUUUUUCCUCGGUCAGAUGCAUAAACAAAUACAAAGAGGCAAGAAAUAAAAAAAAAUGCAUACCACAUUAUCUUUUAUCAUCCUAUCUUUAAGUGGUUUGAGUGCCAGUUGCAGAUCAGCCUUAUGAUACUAUUGUUACCUGCAAUGUUGAGAACUUGAAAAACAAAAAAUAUUGCAAUUAAGUAGACACUAAAUUAGCGCGAGGUUUAGUUUCCCUUUGAAGAUAUCACAUUUGAGUAUUGGCGACCACCAGAACGCGGGC